GCCGGGUGUGGUGGCUCACACCUGUAAUCCCAGCACUUUGGGAGGCCGAGGCAGGCGGAUCACUUGAGGUCAGGAGUUCAAGACAAGCCUGACCAACAUGGAGAAACCCUGUCUCUA
Molecule: non-coding RNA, 117 nt
Filed under: Nomascus leucogenys (northern white-cheeked gibbon)
Lineage: Eukaryota; Metazoa; Chordata; Mammalia; Primates; Hylobatidae
Source: Rfam by way of RNAcentral